AGCGUACACGGUGGAUGCCCUGGCAGUCAGAGGCGAUGAAGGGCGUGCUAAUCUGCGAUAAGCGCCGGUAAGGUGAUAUGAACCGUUAUAACCGGCGAUACCCGAAUGGGGAAACCCAGUGUGACUCGUCACACUAUCAUUAACUGAAUCCAUAGGUUAAUGAGGCGAACCGGGGGAACUGAAACAUCUAAGUACCCCGAGGAAAAGAAAUCAACCGAGAUUCCCCCAGUAGCGGCGAGCGAACGGGGAGGAGCCCAGAGCCUGAAUCAGCAUGUGUGUUAGUGGAAGCGUCUGGAAAGGCGCGCGAUACAGGGUGACAGCCCCGUACACAAAAGCGCAUGUGCUGUGAGCUCGAUGAGUAGGGCGGGACACGUGGUAUCCUGUCUGAAUAUGGGGGGACCAUCCUCCAAGGCUAAAUACUCCUGACUGACCGAUAGUGAACCAGUACCGUGAGGGAAAGGCGAAAAGAACCCCGGCGAGGGGAGUGAAAAAGAACCUGAAACCGUGUACGUACAAGCAGUGGGAGCCCCACCACUAAGCCAGUGGUGAACUCCACAUACGCAUCCUUUGCUGAGGAUACGGUUAACGGAGCGCAAGCGACGUUCAACCGCAAAAGAAGCAGAGGGGGCUUAGUGGUGGGGUGACUGCGUACCUUUUGUAUAAUGGGUCAGCGACUUAUAUUCUGUAGCAAGGUUAACCGAAUAGGGGAGCCGGAGGGAAACCGAGUCUUAAUUGGGCGUUAAGUUGCAGGGUAUAGACCCGAAACCCGGUGAUCUAGCCAUGGGCAGGUUGAAGGUUGGGUAACACUAACUGGAGGACCGAACCGACUAAUGUUGAAAAAUUAGCGGAUGACCUGUGGCUGGGGGUGAAAGGCCAAUCAAACCGGGAGAUAGCUGGUUCUCCCCGAAAGCUAUUUAGGUAGCGCCUCGUGAAUUCAUCUCCGGGGGUAGAGCACUGUUUCGGCUAGGGGGCCAUCCCGGCUUACCAACCCGAUGCAAACUGCGAAUACCGGAGAAUGUUAUCACGGGAGACACACGGCGGGUGCUAACGUCCGUCGUGAAGAGGGAAACAACCCAGACCGCCAGCUAAGGUCCCAAAGUCAUGGUUAAGUGGGAAACGAUGUGGGAAGGCCCAGACAGCCAGGAUGUUGGCUUAGAAGCAGCCAUCAUUUAAAGAAAGCGUAAUAGCUCACUGGUCGAGUCGGCCUGCGCGGAAGAUGUAACGGGGCUAAACCAUGCACCGAAGCUGCGGCAGCGAACGUAUCACUUAAAGCGAUUCAGCGGGUUACGAUUGACGGAGCGAAGCGACGUCAAAGCGUAUACAAAGUCGAGUCGGUUUAAGGAUACGUUCGUUGGGUAGGGGAGCGUUCUGUAAGCCUGCGAAGGUGGCCUGUGAGGGUUGCUGGAGGUAUCAGAAGUGCGAAUGCUGACAUAAGUAACGAUAAAGCGGGUGAAAAGCCCGCUCGCCGGAAGACCAAGGGUUCCUGUCCAACGUUAAUCGGGGCAGGGUGAGUCGACCCCUAAGGCGAGGCCGAAAGGCGUAGUCGAUGGGAAACGGGUUAAUAUUCCCGUACUUGGUGUUACUGCGAAGGGGGGACGGAGAAGGCUAUGUUGGCCGGGCGACGGUUGUCCCGGUUUAAGCGUGUAGGUGUGUGUUCCAGGUAAAUCCGGUUCACUUUAACACUGAGGCGUGAUGACGAGGCACUACGGUGCUGAAGCAACAAAUGCCCUGCUUCCAGGAAAAGCCUCUAAGCAUCAGGUAACAUCAAAUCGUACCCCAAACCGACACAGGUGGUCAGGUAGAGAAUACCAAGGCGCUUGAGAGAACUCGGGUGAAGGAACUAGGCAAAAUGGUGCCGUAACUUCGGGAGAAGGCACGCUGACACGUAGGUGAAGUGAUUUACUCAUGGAGCUGAAGUCAGUCGAAGAUACCAGCUGGCUGCAACUGUUUAUUAAAAACACAGCACUGUGCAAACACGAAAGUGGACGUAUACGGUGUGACGCCUGCCCGGUGCCGGAAGGUUAAUUGAUGGGGUCAGCGCAAGCGAAGCUCCUGAUCGAAGCCCCGGUAAACGGCGGCCGUAACUAUAACGGUCCUAAGGUAGCGAAAUUCCUUGUCGGGUAAGUUCCGACCUGCACGAAUGGCGUAAUGAUGGCCAGGCUGUCUCCACCCGAGACUCAGUGAAAUUGAACUCGCUGUGAAGAUGCAGUGUACCCGCGGCAAGACGGAAAGACCCCGUGAACCUUUACUAUAGCUUGACACUGAACAUUGAGCCUUGAUGUGUAGGAUAGGUGGGAGGCUUUGAAGUGUGGACGCCAGUCUGCAUGGAGCCGACCUUGAAAUACCACCCUUUAAUGUUUGAUGUUCUAACGUGGACCCGUAAUCCGGGUUGCGGACAGUGUCUGGUGGGUAGUUUGACUGGGGCGGUCUCCUCCUAAAGAGUAACGGAGGAGCACGAAGGUUGGCUAAUCCUGGUCGGACAUCAGGAGGUUAGUGCAAUGGCAUAAGCCAGCUUGACUGCGAGCGUGACGGCGCGAGCAGGUGCGAAAGCAGGUCAUAGUGAUCCGGUGGUUCUGAAUGGAAGGGCCAUCGCUCAACGGAUAAAAGGUACUCCGGGGAUAACAGGCUGAUACCGCCCAAGAGUUCAUAUCGACGGCGGUGUUUGGCACCUCGAUGUCGGCUCAUCACAUCCUGGGGCUGAAGUAGGUCCCAAGGGUAUGGCUGUUCGCCAUUUAAAGUGGUACGCGAGCUGGGUUUAGAACGUCGUGAGACAGUUCGGUCCCUAUCUGCCGUGGGCGCUGGAGAACUGAGGGGGGCUGCUCCUAGUACGAGAGGACCGGAGUGGACGCAUCACUGGUGUUCGGGUUGUCAUGCCAAUGGCACUGCCCGGUAGCUAAAUGCGGAAGAGAUAAGUGCUGAAAGCAUCUAAGCACGAAACUUGCCCCGAGAUGAGUUCU
This 2957-nucleotide ribosomal RNA is filed under the name Salmonella enterica subsp. enterica serovar Havana. Its description in RNAcentral is "bacterial LSU rRNA". It matches the Rfam family "Bacterial large subunit ribosomal RNA". Lineage: Bacteria; Pseudomonadati; Pseudomonadota; Gammaproteobacteria; Enterobacterales; Enterobacteriaceae. The record is from RNAcentral.